GAUGAACGCUGGCGGCGUGCCUAAUACAUGCAAGUCGAGCGAACGGACGAGAAGCUUGCUUUUCUGAUGUUAGCGGCGGACGGGUGAGUAACACGUGGAUAACCUACCUAUAAGACUGGGAUAACUUCGGGAAACCGGAGCUAAUACCGGAUAAUAUUUUGAACCGCAUGGUUCAAAAGUGAAAGACGGUCUUGCUGUCACUUAUAGAUGGAUCCGCGCUGCAUUAGCUAGUUGGUAAGGUAACGGCUUACCAAGGCAACGAUGCAUAGCCGACCUGAGAGGGUGAUCGGCCACACUGGAACUGAGACACGGUCCAGACUCCUACGGGAGGCAGCAGUAGGGAAUCUUCCGCAAUGGGCGAAAGCCUGACGGAGCAACGCCGCGUGAGUGAUGAAGGUCUCCGGAUCGUAAAACUCUGUUAUUAGGGAAGAACAUAUGUGUAAGUAACUGUGCACAUCUUGACGGUACCUAAUCAGAAAGCCACGGCUAACUACGUG
Molecule: ribosomal RNA, 497 nt
Filed under: uncultured bacterium
Lineage: Bacteria
Description: partial 16S ribosomal RNA
Rfam family: Bacterial small subunit ribosomal RNA
Source: RNAcentral